RNAcentral lists this ribosomal RNA (420 nucleotides) under uncultured bacterium. RNAcentral's name for it is "bacterial SSU rRNA". It matches the Rfam family "Bacterial small subunit ribosomal RNA", at positions 102 to 520 of the family's 1533-position model. The record is from RNAcentral.
ACGGGUGAGUAACACGUAAGAAUCUGCCCUAUAGUGAGGAAUACCCUUGAGAAAUUGAGGUUAAUACUGCAUAAGUCCCUUCGGGGAGAAAGACGUCUUUUAUGUCGUCGCUAUAGGAUGAGCUUGCGGACUAUCAGCUUGUUGGUGAGGUAAAGGCUCACCAAGGCUAUGACGGUUAACCGGCCUGAGAGGGUGUACGGUCACAUAGGCACUGAGAUACGGGCCUGACUCCUACGGGAGGCAGCAGUGGGGAAUAUUGCGCAAUGGGCGAAAGCCUGACGCAGCGACGCCGCGUGGAGGAUGAAGGUCUUCGGAUUGUAAACUCCUGUCAGAUGGGAAGAAAAGUUUACGUCUAAUAAAUGUAAAAGAUGACGGUACCAUCAGAGGAAGCACCGGCUAACUUCGUGCCAGCAGCCGCGG